CACGUAGUUAGCCGUGGCUUAUUCAAGAUGUACCGUCUUCUGCUCUUCCCUCUUAAAAGAAGUUUACAACCCGAAAGCCUUCUUCCUUCACGCGGCGUUGCUGGGUCAGGCUUGCGCCCAUUGCCCAAUAUUCCCCACUGCUGCCUCCCGUAGGAGUCUGGGCCGUAUCUCAGUCCCAAUGUGGCCGGCCAACCUCUCAGUCCGGCUACUGAUCGUUGCCUUGGUAGGCCGUUACCCUGCCAACUAGCUAAUCAGACGCGAGGCCAUCUCUCAGCGAUAAAUCUUUGAUAUCCAUACCAUGCGAUACAGAUAUAUUAUGCGGUAUUAGCAGUCGUUUCCAACUGUUGUCCCCCUCUGAGAGGUAGGUUCCUCACGCGUUACUCACCCGUCCGCCACUAAGUAUCCUCUUCCAUUGACCGAAAUCUCUUUCCGAGGCACUCCGUUCGACUUGCAUGUGUUAAGCACGCCGCCAGCGUUCGUCCUGAGCCAGGAUCAAACU
This 499-nucleotide ribosomal RNA is filed under the name uncultured Oscillibacter sp. Its description in RNAcentral is "partial 16S ribosomal RNA". Lineage: Bacteria; Bacillati; Bacillota; Clostridia; Eubacteriales; Oscillospiraceae. The record is from RNAcentral.